GGGUGAGUAACGCGUAUCCAACCUUCCCCUUAGUAGGGCAUAGCCCGGCGAAAGUCGGAUUAAUACCCUAUGUUUUCCAAUGAGGACAUCUGAGUUGGAACAAAGAUUCGUCGCUAAGGGAUGGGGAUGCGUCCGAUUAGCUUGCCGGCGGGGUAACGGCCCACCGGGGCAACGAUCGGUAGGGGUUCUGAGAGGAAGGUCCCCCACACUGGUACUGAGACACGGACCAGACUCCUACGGGAGGCAGCAGUGAGGAAUAUUGGUCAAUGGGCGAGAGCCUGAACCAGCCAAGUAGCGUGCAGGAUGACGGCCCUACGGGUUGUAAACUGCUUUUAUGCGGGGAUAAAGUGACGUACGUGUACGUUUUUGCAGGUACCGCAUGAAUAAGGACCGGCUAAUUCCGUGCCAGCAGCCGCGGUAAUACGGAAGGUCCUGGCGUUAUCCGGAUUUAUUGGGUUUAAAGGGAGCGCAGGCGGGUUGUUAAGCGUGCCGUGAAAUGUACCGGCUCAACCGGUGAAGUGCGGCGCGAACUGGCGACCUUGAGUGGGUACGACGGAGGCGGAAUUCGUGGUGUAGCGGUGAAAUGCUUAGAUAUCACGAAGAACCCCGAUUGCGAAGGC
Molecule: ribosomal RNA, 620 nt
Filed under: uncultured bacterium
Lineage: Bacteria
Description: bacterial SSU rRNA
Rfam family: Bacterial small subunit ribosomal RNA
Source: RNAcentral